CAUCUAAAAAAGAAGCGAUGGCGAUGGCGAUUAGGGUUUCGUGUUGAAUGGUUCUCGACGGCGGUUUUCGAGAUGUGUCUUGGUGGCUUCUAUUUGGGUUUUUGGAUCAUAUCGAUGGAGAUCAGCGAUCUCUAUUGCCUUUAAUGGUGGUAGAACACGUUCCGGUGGAUCUGGUAUCUGAGGAUUGGGGAGAGAGGGAUCUCAUUUUCCAAAAUUUGCGAUCGGGUGUUUGAUUGGUAUCAUUGUUUGUGAAGGAUCCGAUCUGCUUGGAUAUGGCUCUGGUAUAUUGGGGAUUCGUUUGUGGUUGGGAAGGGUGAUUCGGGUGUGAAUAUUGAAAGAGGGCGAUUUGGUGUCGGAUUUUCUCGACGGGUCAGGAAUCUGGGAUUUGGAAAGUGAGGGAUCUCGAUCUCCUGAUUUCGCAAUCGGGUGUUUGGUUGGUAUCACUGAUUGUGAAAGAUAUGAUUAGCUUGGAUAUGAUUCUAGUCUAUUGGGGAUUCGCUUAUAGUUUUGAUGGGCGAUUCAGGUGUGAAAGUGAAAAUGGAAUGAGGGAGAUUUGGUUUCAGAUGUUUUCGGGUUAUCAUGGCUCAAAUGAAUCUCAACAAAGGGAAGGUUGCUUUGGUUUCGAACAGAGACGGUGAAAAUCUCAAACUCUCUGAUGGCUCAACGUAUUCAACAAUUCUCUCUCACUCUCAUUGGGAGAUUGAUGGAAGCUUGAGGAGAGGGUUGAAGGUGCUGAUUUGGGUCAGGAUACAUUUCAGUUUAAUUUUCAAACCGAGGAAGAUCUUCAAGGCGUGCUAAGGAACGGUCCUUACCAUUUCGAUAAUUGGAUGUUAUCUUUGGUUCGAUGGGAACCAAUCAUUUCUGAUACUUAUCCUUCUGCCAUUAACUUUUGGGUGAAAGCUUCAGGGAUCCCUAUGCACUUUUGGGAGGCUGCAACCCUUCAAGCUAUUGGUAAGAAAAUAGGAAUUCUCCGUGAUGUAGAUGAGGAAUCUGGUAGUCUCUUUGUCACUAUAAAUGGGUUUAAUUUCUCUCAUUUUUCACCUGGUGGUUCCGUUUAACACUGGUGAUGAGGUGGUGGCCUCACUAGAGUAUGAGAAGCUCCUUGGUUUUUGCAGUCAUUGUUUUAUGCUGACACAUGAUGUGAAGGUCUGUCUAGAGCUAAGCAAGAGUGAGGGGGUCGGGGUCAGGGUGAAAUUGUUGAUAGGAGAGGAGGUUCAUGGAAUCAGCCAUUGUUAAAACCGAUUGUUCAACAUUUUGAGGGGGGCUGGGAAAAGCCAAGGAAAUUUGCUAAGCGUUCUUUGGAUUUUAAUUCAGAGGUAAAUAGAGACUGGGAUCACCAGCAGCAGCGUAUUAGUGAGAGUUCAAAGAGUGGUUUUAGAUAUCAGGCUAAAAGUCAGGGAGACUUGGGCCAACAAAAGGAGUCAUGGGAGAUAUGCGGAGGGCAGAGAGGGUCUGGGUAAUGUCAUGGUUCAACAAGCACGAUCGCAUCCUCCUAGGAAGGGGAAUGGUCCUGCCUGGCCAAAACCUUUGUAUCAAGCGAAGCAGAAGAAUGGUUCGCAGGUUGGUGGUGUUCUUGAGUCUGAAGUCCCUACGGUUGCUGAUGUGGUGGUUCAAGAGAAGGAUGCACUGAUGGCGGAUGUUAUUGGGGCUAGUGGAGGAGAUAAUGAGGCUGGGUUCUCCGUGAGUUCUGAUGAUCUUCUCGAGGAUGGGGAAUACUAGGAGGGUGAGGGUCAGGCUGACGAUACUGCUGCUGAUGAUGAGGAUGCUCAGACGGAUACAGAGAAGGGUGUGUUAGAGACCGACGAUGAUGCCCCACAAGGUGAUGCUGCAAAGAGUAAAGGGAUUGUCAGGCCAAACCAGAAGAAGCCAGAGGGUGGCAAUAAGGGAGGAGGAACCCGCAAACAGAAGAAAGGGAUGGUGGCUCUCCCGAAACCGCCGGCUCAAACGUGAAGAUCAUGAGUUGGAACUGUCAGGGCAUUGGUGCGAAUCUGACAGAGAACUAUUUGAAGGAUUUAUGGAAGCAGAAUAACCCAGAUAUUUUAAUUUUUAUCAGAAACAAAAAGUUGUUUUUCUCAUUUACAAAAGUUUCAGAAUAAAUUUCGUUAUCAUCAUUUGUAUACGGUUGAACCAUGUGGGUCUAGCGGUGGUUUAGCUAUUUUUUAUAAUGAUAAUAUAAAACUUGAAGUUA
Molecule: non-coding RNA, 2188 nt
Organism: Camelina sativa (false flax)
Lineage: Eukaryota; Viridiplantae; Streptophyta; Magnoliopsida; Brassicales; Brassicaceae
Source: RefSeq, a predicted model, not a curated record